This 1552-nucleotide ribosomal RNA is filed under the name Escherichia fergusonii. RNAcentral's name for it is "bacterial SSU rRNA". It matches the Rfam family "Bacterial small subunit ribosomal RNA". The record is from RNAcentral. Lineage: Bacteria; Pseudomonadati; Pseudomonadota; Gammaproteobacteria; Enterobacterales; Enterobacteriaceae.
AAAUUGAAGAGUUUGAUCAUGGCUCAGAUUGAACGCUGGCGGCAGGCCUAACACAUGCAAGUCGAACGGUAACAGGAAUCAGCUUGCUGAUUCGCUGACGAGUGGCGGACGGGUGAGUAAUGUCUGGGAAACUGCCUGAUGGAGGGGGAUAACUACUGGAAACGGUAGCUAAUACCGCAUAACGUCGCAAGACCAAAGAGGGGGACCUUCGGGCCUCUUGCCAUCGGAUGUGCCCAGAUGGGAUUAGCUUGUAGGUGGGGUAACGGCUCACCUAGGCGACGAUCCCUAGCUGGUCUGAGAGGAUGACCAGCCACACUGGAACUGAGACACGGUCCAGACUCCUACGGGAGGCAGCAGUGGGGAAUAUUGCACAAUGGGCGCAAGCCUGAUGCAGCCAUGCCGCGUGUAUGAAGAAGGCCUUCGGGUUGUAAAGUACUUUCAGCGGGGAGGAAGGGAGUAAAGUUAAUACCUUUGCUCAUUGACGUUACCCGCAGAAGAAGCACCGGCUAACUCCGUGCCAGCAGCCGCGGUAAUACGGAGGGUGCAAGCGUUAAUCGGAAUUACUGGGCGUAAAGCGCACGCAGGCGGUUUGUUAAGUCAGAUGUGAAAUCCCCGGGCUCAACCUGGGAACUGCAUCUGAUACUGGCAAGCUUGAGUCUCGUAGAGGGGGGUAGAAUUCCAGGUGUAGCGGUGAAAUGCGUAGAGAUCUGGAGGAAUACCGGUGGCGAAGGCGGCCCCCUGGACGAAGACUGACGCUCAGGUGCGAAAGCGUGGGGAGCAAACAGGAUUAGAUACCCUGGUAGUCCACGCCGUAAACGAUGUCGACUUGGAGGUUGUGCCCUUGAGGCGUGGCUUCCGGAGCUAACGCGUUAAGUCGACCGCCUGGGGAGUACGGCCGCAAGGUUAAAACUCAAAUGAAUUGACGGGGGCCCGCACAAGCGGUGGAGCAUGUGGUUUAAUUCGAUGCAACGCGAAGAACCUUACCUGGUCUUGACAUCCACGGAAGUUUUCAGAGAUGAGAAUGUGCCUUCGGGAACCGUGAGACAGGUGCUGCAUGGCUGUCGUCAGCUCGUGUUGUGAAAUGUUGGGUUAAGUCCCGCAACGAGCGCAACCCUUAUCCUUUGUUGCCAGCGGUCCGGCCGGGAACUCAAAGGAGACUGCCAGUGAUAAACUGGAGGAAGGUGGGGAUGACGUCAAGUCAUCAUGGCCCUUACGACCAGGGCUACACACGUGCUACAAUGGCGCAUACAAAGAGAAGCGACCUCGCGAGAGCAAGCGGACCUCAUAAAGUGCGUCGUAGUCCGGAUUGGAGUCUGCAACUCGACUCCAUGAAGUCGGAAUCGCUAGUAAUCGUGGAUCAGAAUGCCACGGUGAAUACGUUCCCGGGCCUUGUACACACCGCCCGUCACACCAUGGGAGUGGGUUGCAAAAGAAGUAGGUAGCUUAACCUUCGGGAGGGCGCUUACCACUUUGUGAUUCAUGACUGGGGUGAAGUCGUAACAAGGUAACCGUAGGGGAACCUGCGGUUGGAUCACCUCCUUACCUUAAAGAA